This is a non-coding RNA of Burkholderia sp. AD24, 181 nucleotides long. Lineage: Bacteria; Pseudomonadati; Pseudomonadota; Betaproteobacteria; Burkholderiales; Burkholderiaceae. The record is from Rfam.
GUGAGGGUGACCUGGCGUGAGGAAGCGUGGAGCGAAACCGCGAGCCGAUGGACAAGAACCGGAUAUAAGGCGGUGCCGAUCAGGGCGAGCGUGCAAUGAAGCGUGAAGCUCUCGUGGUCAAGGAUGUGGUCAAGGAUCAGGCAUCGUAAAUCCGGCGGUUGUGCGGCGAAGGAUUGCGUUC